GUGUUUAUUUUUCCUUUAGGCUUCCUUUAACUAUGACAAAUGGUGACUUAGAAGUGAAUCUACCUAUCUACCUUUCUGGAAAAGGCAAUAAUGUCUGACAGAAAACUAAACCAUAAUGCAUGAUAAUCCAGAAUUGAAGCUCGGCCCUGCCUGGGGUUGCAGAUCUGUCACUGAUGCCUACAACGCAGUAGGUCAACCAGUGUCCUGCGUCUCUCUCCAAUAAAAUUCAACAACCCAUUAAAAGGCUGACAAACAGUAGGUUAUAAUCAUAAUUCUUGUGUUUCAUUAACUUAGAUCUUAUUUCUCUAAAAUGUUGUGUUUUCAGUAUGGCAAAGCAUUCGCUCUCAGCCCUGAAGACCGGAUUCAGGUUGUCCAUGUGUAGCGCUGACAUUGGCCACAAGGUGGCAGACUUAAAUUACAUUCAAACCUCUUCUUUCACAAUCUGUAUAAAAAAAAAUAAAAAAAAACCCACCAAAA
Molecule: long non-coding RNA, 477 nt
Organism: Micropterus salmoides (largemouth bass)
Lineage: Eukaryota; Metazoa; Chordata; Actinopteri; Centrarchiformes; Centrarchidae
Exons: 2
Source: RefSeq, a predicted model, not a curated record